RNAcentral lists this transfer RNA (70 nucleotides) under Mus musculus (house mouse). Its description in RNAcentral is "tRNA-Thr". The record is from RNAcentral. Lineage: Eukaryota; Metazoa; Chordata; Mammalia; Rodentia; Muridae.
GAGAGGGUGGCCCAGUGGUUAAGGGCACUUGUUGUUUCAGAGGACCUGGGUUUGGUUCCCAGCACUUACG